ACCGCUUAUCGCUCAUACCAAUUGAAUAAUCCGGUGCAAUAUUUGGAUCAUGGCAACAUAGGCGGUUCGCUGCUCGGGACAUCGCAAGAAGUCCAUUGAGCCUUAUAAUUUAGUGGAAGAAGAAGUUGUAAUAAGGUUUUUUUAGGUAAAUCUGCAGAAUGAUUAUUGUCGAAACCUGUAUAGUAGAACAACCCAUAAAUGGUUUUAGUAAAUGGUAAGUCAGUAGGGGCAGGAUGAUUCAGCCAUACUCACUAGUCCCUCCCCAUCAUCCCUAGCAUGCAUGAAUUGAGAAUAGCCCAACCUAAGAAUUGGGCUACUCCAUCAUCCAAUUGUAGUCUGGAUAAGCGUCCUUAGUAGCAGAUUAGGCCCAAGUCCCCAGAGAGUCAAAGUGUACUUUAAAUUAUUGAGAGUAAAGGAGAUAGGGACCGGAUAUAUACCUUGGUUGGAUGUUGAAAGAUGAUGAGCUAGUUCGUCGAUCGAUUGGCGCAUUGACCAUCAUAGAUUAGGGGCGUCUAAAGCCCAGGCUCUUAAUAUGCUCAUGGAAUGGCAUCUCUUCGCAUAUGAUAGGCAACAUAUUCCUCUAUCGUGCUUCGGCAUCUGUGUGCUCCUGAUACUGGCCUGUGGGAUCCCUAUUUAACCUAUCUUGAAACACAUACCAAGGAGUCUGACAUGCGUAAGAGUCAAAGAGCAUGUAAAUUCAUAAGGCAUAAGGAAGUUUAUUGGUGGGAUCCCCCUGAGGGGUGCACUGGAGAUCGACCUUGUUCUUUUGAGAAGAGUUCGAGUGUGAGAAUACCCAUAGAGACCCAAAAGAGGGUGAAUUAUGCCUAAAAGGGACGAAGACAGAGGAAACACUAAUGGAGACCUGUAGCAUUACUGACAUGCAAAUAAUUCAUCUGACAUAAGCAUAGGGGUGAAAGACUAAUUGAAUUAUCUUGUAGCUGGUUCCCUCUGAAGUUUCCCCCAGGAUAGUUGGAUCUCGCAAGCAAGUUCUAUCGUGUAAAGCCAAUAAUUAAAGUCGUUGGAGGCGUAACGCCUUAGACAUAAUCUUAAACUUUAAUGAGGUAGGACGGCGCAACUGCUUUGUUCAGCCACGCCAUAAAAUCCAGAGCUCCAAGUGGGCCAUUUUUGUUAAGAAAAACUAUCAAUGUGGGAUAAACUAAAAGCCAGGUUACGGUGUGAAACUGUGCACUAACCUAGACCCUAAAAAGGGUGUUGGUCAAUUAAGACAGUAGGACAGUGGUCAUAGAAGUCAAAAUUGGCUAUGAAAUGUGUAACAACUCACCUGUCGAAUCAACUAUCCCUCAAAAUGAAUAACACUUAAGCACGCGACCUACCCCAGCCAUCGAGGCAAGUGACAGUCCCUGAUGAGUAGGAUGGCGCGACGAUCGCUGCAAAACUUUGGGCGCGAUCCCAAGCGAUGCGACCGUCGGUGUAGAUCUUGGUAGUAUUAGUUAAUAUUCAAAUGAGAACUUUGAAGGAUAAAAAAUGGAAAGGUUCCAUGUGAACAGCAUUAUAACAUGGUUUAGUCGAUCUAUGGUUUGGGGAACCCCAACAGAUAGGGUAUUUUACGCAUACACUAAAAGAGAAUCAGGUUAAAAUUCUUGAACCAGGACAUGGCGGUCAAUGACAAUGUUAGAACGUCCAGAGACAUCGAUAGGAGCCAAGGGAAGAGUUAUCUUUUCUUAUUAACAUCCUGCCCACCCUGGAAUCGGCUCAGCCAGAGGUAGGGUCUAACGGCUGGAAAAGCAUCGUACGUCCCAUGGUGUCCGAUGUGCUCCCCGAGUCCCUUGAAAAUAUGGACCACUGAAUGUCGUGCAUGCCCGGUUGUACUCAUAACUGCAUAAGGUCUUCGAGGAAAACAACCUCUAGUCGAUGGAAUAACGUAGGCAAAGGAAGUCCAAUAAAUAGAUCCAUAACUUUGAGAAAAGGAUUUGCUCUAAGUACUGGGCAUAGGGGUCCUAUUCCUAAAAUAGUUGACUAUUGGCGAACUUUUUAAGCUGCUUCAAUGAUGAGAUUGGGUUGCCAUGUCACUUCGGGGGGAUGGACUUGGAACAGCUGCUUUUAGGGACUUCCCCGUGCAUUGAACAACUAACUCAUAAUUGGUACUGACAAGGGGAAUCUAACUGUUUAAUUAAAACAAGGAAGAACUGGCACUGUUGCUGGGCCAAUCUGAUUAAUGGUCCAUGAAAUUUUUUACCAUAUGCGAGGCCAUAAAGUUGCUGGUGCGAGACCAAGGAAGGUAAUUGCAUAUCCGCAGACAGAUAAUAGUGCAACGAUGUGCUGUGGUUGCAUCUGGGCAGUCUCACAAAGUUAGUUCCAAAGUCAUAAUUCCUAUUCCCAAACCUUUUGAUAGUUCUAGAAAUGGUGAGGAAUUGAAGAAUUUUCUGUUGGGUAUAGAGUAGUAUUUCUUUACUACCCGAGUUACUGAAACGGAUAAGUUAAACAUCACCACGAUGUACUUGAUGGGUGAUGCAAAAUUAUGGUAAGGACUCAGAAUACGGAUGAUGAAAGUGCUGGACGUCCCAAAAUUGAUACUUGGGAAAAGUUGAAGAAGGAAAUAAGGGACUAAUUCCUUCCUAGCAAUGCCUGAUGGAUUGCUAGAGACAAGUUAAAAAGGCUAAGCCAACAUGGAACAAUUCAUAAAAAUAUCAAAGAUUGUACUUCUUUGAUGUUGGACAUCCAAAAUAUGUCUGGUGAAGACAAGUUACACAACUUUAUCUAAGGAAUGAAGGCAUGGGACCAUAACAAACUAAGCAGGCAGAAUGUGAAAGACUUGCCUGGAGCAAUUGUUACUGCUGACUCAUUGGUGGAUUUUGGAAGAACUCAUUCUUAUUCUUACAUUCCCACUUCAAGCAGGCAGAAUGUGAAAGAC
This 2872-nucleotide ribosomal RNA is filed under the name Capsicum annuum var. glabriusculum (American bird pepper). Its description in RNAcentral is "eukaryotic LSU rRNA". The stretch from base 322 to 2241 matches the Rfam family "Eukaryotic large subunit ribosomal RNA". Lineage: Eukaryota; Viridiplantae; Streptophyta; Magnoliopsida; Solanales; Solanaceae. The record is from RNAcentral.